Molecule: unclassified non-coding RNA, 196 nt
Filed under: uncultured fungus
Lineage: Eukaryota; Fungi
Description: sequence contains ITS1
Source: RNAcentral
GUAUAUAUUAAUAUAGGCACAACAUUCUAUUAACAUACAUUGGGGUAAAUGAAGCAACAUAGACCUGAAAGGUCUACAAAAGGUGCACAGGUGGAGAUAUAAAGAUGACAAGGUGUGCACAUGCUCCCUAGAGAGCCAGCAACAACCCAUCAGGUUUAUUUCAAUAAUGAUCCUUCCGCAGGUUCACCUACGGAAA